Molecule: ribosomal RNA, 341 nt
Filed under: uncultured bacterium
Lineage: Bacteria
Description: bacterial SSU rRNA
Rfam family: Bacterial small subunit ribosomal RNA
Source: RNAcentral
GAGGAAGGUGGGGAUGACGUCAAGUCCUCAUGGCCCUUAUGUCCUGGGCUACACACGUACUACAAUGGUCGGUACAGAGGGUUGCCAAGCCGCAAGGUGGAGCCAAUCCCAGAAAGCCGAUCCCAGUCCGGAUUGGAGUCUGCAACUCGACUCCAUGAAGUCGGAAUCGCUAGUAAUCGCAGAUCAGCUAUGCUGCGGUGAAUACGUUCCCGGGCCUUGUACACACCGCCCGUCACACCAUGGGAGUGGGCUGCUCCAGAAGCCGUUAGCCUAACCGCAAGGAGGGCGACGACCACGGAGUGGUUCAUGACUGGGGUGAAGUCGUAACAAGGUAGCCGUAA